Molecule: ribosomal RNA, 2345 nt
Filed under: Staphylococcus aureus
Lineage: Bacteria; Bacillati; Bacillota; Bacilli; Caryophanales; Staphylococcaceae
Description: partial 23S ribosomal RNA
Rfam family: Bacterial large subunit ribosomal RNA
Source: RNAcentral
UCAGAGCCCGUUAAUGGGUGAUGGCGUGCCUUUUGUAGAAUGAACCGGCGAGUUACGAUUUGAUGCAAGGUUAAGCAGUAAAUGUGGAGCCGUAGCGAAAGCGAGUCUGAAUAGGGCGUUUAGUAUUUGGUCGUAGACCCGAAACCAGGUGAUCUACCCUUGGUCAGGUUGAAGUUCAGGUAACACUGAAUGGAGGACCGAACCGACUUACGUUGAAAAGUGAGCGGAUGAACUGAGGGUAGCGGAGAAAUUCCAAUCGAACCUGGAGAUAGCUGGUUCUCUCCGAAAUAGCUUUAGGGCUAGCCUCAAGUGAUGAUUAUUGGAGGUAGAGCACUGUUUGGACGAGGGGCCCCUCUCGGGUUACCGAAUUCAGACAAACUCCGAAUGCCAAUUAAUUUAACUUGGGAGUCAGAACAUGGGUGAUAAGGUCCGUGUUCGAAAGGGAAACAGCCCAGACCACCAGCUAAGGUCCCAAAAUAUAUGUUAAGUGGAAAAGGAUGUGGCGUUGCCCAGACAACUAGGAUGUUGGCUUAGAAGCAGCCAUCAUUUAAAGAGUGCGUAAUAGCUCACUAGUCGAGUGACACUGCGCCGAAAAUGUACCGGGGCUAAACAUAUUACCGAAGCUGUGGAUUGUCCUUUGGACAAUGGUAGGAGAGCGUUCUAAGGGCGUUGAAGCAUGAUCGUAAGGACAUGUGGAGCGCUUAGAAGUGAGAAUGCCGGUGUGAGUAGCGAAAGACGGGUGAGAAUCCCGUCCACCGAUUGACUAAGGUUUCCAGAGGAAGGCUCGUCCGCUCUGGGUUAGUCGGGUCCUAAGCUGAGGCCGACAGGCGUAGGCGAUGGAUAACAGGUUGAUAUUCCUGUACCACCUAUAAUCGUUUUAAUCGAUGGGGGGACGCAGUAGAAUAGGCGAAGCGUGCGAUUGGAUUGCACGUCUAAGCAGUAAGGCUGAGUAUUAGGCAAAUCCGGUACUCGUUAAGGCUGAGCUGUGAUGGGGAGAAGACAUUGUGUCUUCGAGUCGUUGAUUUCACACUGCCGAGAAAAGCCUCUAGAUAGAAAAUAGGUGCCCGUACCGCAAACCGACACAGGUAGUCAAGAUGAGAAUUCUAAGGUGAGCGAGCGAACUCUCGUUAAGGAACUCGGCAAAAUGACCCCGUAACUUCGGGAGAAGGGGUGCUCUUUAGGGUUAACGCCCAGAAGAGCCGCAGUGAAUAGGCCCAAGCGACUGUUUAUCAAAAACACAGGUCUCUGCUAAACCGUAAGGUGAUGUAUAGGGGCUGACGCCUGCCCGGUGCUGGAAGGUUAAGAGGAGUGGUUAGCUUCUGCGAAGCUACGAAUCGAAGCCCCAGUAAACGGCGGCCGUAACUAUAACGGUCCUAAGGUAGCGAAAUUCCUUGUCGGGUAAGUUCCGACCCGCACGAAAGGCGUAACGAUUUGGGCACUGUCUCAACGAGAGACUCGGUGAAAUCAUAGUACCUGUGAAGAUGCAGGUUACCCGCGACAGGACGGAAAGACCCCGUGGAGCUUUACUGUAGCCUGAUAUUGAAAUUCGGCACAGCUUGUACAGGAUAGGUAGGAGCCUUUGAAACGUGAGCGCUAGCUUACGUGGAGGCGCUGGUGGGAUACUACCCUAGCUGUGUUGGCUUUCUAACCCGCACCACUUAUCGUGGUGGGAGACAGUGUCAGGCGGGCAGUUUGACUGGGGCGGUCGCCUCCUAAAAGGUAACGGAGGCGCUCAAAGGUUCCCUCAGAAUGGUUGGAAAUCAUUCAUAGAGUGUAAAGGCAUAAGGGAGCUUGACUGCGAGACCUACAAGUCGAGCAGGGUCGAAAGACGGACUUAGUGAUCCGGUGGUUCCGCAUGGAAGGGCCAUCGCUCAACGGAUAAAAGCUACCCCGGGGAUAACAGGCUUAUCUCCCCCAAGAGUUCACAUCGACGGGGAGGUUUGGCACCUCGAUGUCGGCUCAUCGCAUCCUGGGGCUGUAGUCGGUCCCAAGGGUUGGGCUGUUCGCCCAUUAAAGCGGUACGCGAGCUGGGUUCAGAACGUCGUGAGACAGUUCGGUCCCUAUCCGUCGUGGGCGUAGGAAAUUUGAGAGGAGCUGUCCUUAGUACGAGAGGACCGGGAUGGACAUACCUCUGGUGUACCAGUUGUCGUGCCAACGGCAUAGCUGGGUAGCUAUGUGUGGACGGGAUAAGUGCUGAAAGCAUCUAAGCAUGAAGCCCCCCUCAAGAUGAGAUUUCCCAACUUCGGUUAUAAGAUCCCUCAAAGAUGAUGAGGUUAAUAGGUUCGAGGUGGAAGCAUGGUGACAUGUGGAGCUGACGAAUACUAAUCGAUCGAAGACUUAAUCAA